This 506-nucleotide ribosomal RNA is filed under the name uncultured bacterium. RNAcentral's name for it is "partial 16S ribosomal RNA". It matches the Rfam family "Bacterial small subunit ribosomal RNA", at positions 30 to 523 of the family's 1533-position model. The record is from RNAcentral.
AUUGAACGCUGGCGGCAGGCCUAACACAUGCAAGUCGAACGGUAACAGGAAACAGCUUGCUGUUUCGCUGACGAGUGGCGGACGGGUGAGUAAUGUCUGGGAAACUGCCUGAUGGAGGGGGGUAACUACUGGAAACGGUAGCUAAUACCGCAUAACGUCGCAAGACCAAAGAGGGGGACCUUCGGGCCUCUUGCCAUCGGAUGUGCCCAGAUGGGAUUAGCUAGUAGGUGGGGUAACGGCUCACCUAGGCGACGAUCCCUAGCUGGUCUGAGAGGAUGACCAGCCACACUGGAACGGAGGCACGGUCCAGACUCCGACGGGAGGCAGCAGUGGGGAAUAUUGCACAAUGGGCGCAAGCCUGAUGCAGCCAUGCCGCGUGUAUGAAGAAGGCCUUCGGGUUGUAAAGUACUUUCAGCUGGGAGGAAGGGAGCAAAGUUAAUACCUUUGCUCAUUGACGUUACCCGCAGAAGAAGCACCGGCUAACUCCGUGCCAGCAGCCGCAGUAA